Molecule: ribosomal RNA, 253 nt
Filed under: uncultured bacterium
Lineage: Bacteria
Description: partial 16S ribosomal RNA
Rfam family: Bacterial small subunit ribosomal RNA
Source: RNAcentral
UACGUAGGGGGCGAGCGUUGUCCGGAUUUAUUGGGCGUAAAGAGCGUGUAGGCGGACAGAUAGGUCUGCUGUGAAAACUCGAGGCUCAACCUCGAGAUGUCGGCGGAAACCAUUUGGCUAGAGUGCGGAAGGGGCAACUGGAAUUCUUGGUGUAGCGGUGAAAUGCGUAGAUAUCAAGAGGAACACCUGCGGCGAAGGCGGGUUGCUGGGCCGACACUGACGCUGAGGCGCGAAAGCUAGGGGAGCGAACGGG